RNAcentral lists this ribosomal RNA (1135 nucleotides) under uncultured organism. Its description in RNAcentral is "bacterial SSU rRNA". It matches the Rfam family "Bacterial small subunit ribosomal RNA", at positions 246 to 1411 of the family's 1533-position model. The record is from RNAcentral.
UAGUUGGUAGGGUAAAGGCCUACCAAGGCGAAGACGGGUAGCUGGUCUGAGAGGACGAUCAGCCACAAUGGCACUGAAACACGGGCCAUACUCCUACGGGAGGCAGCAGUGAGGAAUAUUGCACAAUCGACGCAAGUCGGAUGCAGCAACGCCGCGUGGACGAUGAAGGCCUUCGGGUUGUAAAGUCCUUUUAAGAGGGACGAGGAAGGACGGUACCUCUUGAAUAAGUCUCGGCUAACUACGUGCCAGCAGCCGCGGUAACACGUAGGAGGCGAGCGUUAUCCGGAUUUAUUGGGCGUAAAGCGCAUGCAGGUGGCUAGGUAAGUCGGGUGUGAAAGCCCCGGACUUAAUCCGGGGAGGUCAUUCGAUACUGCUUGGCUUGAGAGCGGGAGAGGGAAGUGGAAUUCUCGGUGUAGUGGUGAUAUGCGUAGAUAUCGAGAGGAACACCAGUGGCGAAGGCGGCUUCCUGGCCCGUAUCUGACACUAAGAUGCGAAAGCGUGGGUAGCAAACGGACUUAGAUACUCCGGUAGUCCACGCUGUAAACGAUGGGUACUAGGUGUAGGGGGUGUAAAACUCUCUGUGCCAUAGUUAACGCACUGAGUACCCCGCCUGGGGACUACGGUCGCAAGGCUAAAACUCAAAGGAAUUGACGGGGGCCCGCACAAGCAGCGGAGCGUGUGGUUCAAUUCGAAGAUACACGAAGAACCUUACCUGGGCUUGACAUGUUGGUAGUAGUGAAGCGAAAGCGGAACGAUCCUUCGGGAAGCCAUCACAGGUGCUGCAUGGCUGUCGUCAGCUCGUGCCGUGAGGUGUUGGGUUAAGUCCUGUAACGAGCGCAACCCUCGCUGCCAGUUACAAGUGUCUGGCGGGACUGCCGGUGACAAACCGGAGGAAGGUGGGGAUGACGUCAAGUCAGCAUGGCCUUUAUGUCCAGGGCUACACACACGCUACAAUGGCCGGUACAAUAGGUUGCCAAGUCGUGAGGCGGAGCUAAUCCUCAAAACCGGUCUCAGUUCGAAUUGCAGGCUGCAACCCGCCUGCAUGAAGUUGGAGUUGCUAGUAAACGCGCGUCAGCAAUAGUGCGUUGAAUACGUUCCCGGGCCUUGUACACACCGCCCGUCACGUCAUGGGAGU